Molecule: non-coding RNA, 944 nt
Organism: Camellia sinensis
Lineage: Eukaryota; Viridiplantae; Streptophyta; Magnoliopsida; Ericales; Theaceae
Source: RefSeq, a predicted model, not a curated record
UUUGUACUUGUGUUGCCUUUGCUCUGUGAUAUAUGUUGAAAAGUGAAGAAGAAAAAAAAAAAGAGAAAAAGUUUUCGUAGAGCUUUCUAUUUGGAUACCUAAACAGCAUAAGAUGUUGGGUUUUAGUUCUUUUUACAAAGUUUUGUUGCACUGUUAAAAGGUUUAUUGCACUGUCAGUAUCUUCUGUUGUUGUUUGGUUCUCUGUUGUUCUUUGACUAAAACCUUAGUGGUCAGUUUGGCCCUUAUAUGCUCGUUCUCUCGUAUGAGGAGUCAUCUCAAUUUAGGAAUCUCCAAACCAGAAGAGGUUUCAGAUGAUACAGUGAAAGCUGUGGCUGCUACUUUAAAGAAUUCUACUUUUCUUAAGGUUUCUGAAGAUGGUAAGAAGAUUGGUAGGGCUACUGAGCUUUGCCGCUAGAUGAGGUCAUAGAACAAUCAAACAGUAGGACAAUUGCCGCAUCACCCCUAGAGUAUGAUGUCAAGCUUGAACAUGUGGAAUCCUUCUUUGGUCAGUUUGCCAAGGUUAAUAAUGUGAGGAUGCCUCGCCAUAUUGUAGACAAAAGGUUAUUUUGUGGCACUGCUUUGGUUGAGUUCUCAACUGACGAAGAUGCGGCUAGCACAUUUCUUGCUUGCACCAUGCUUCUCUACUUCACCUUGCUUAAGCCCCUUUGAGGCACCAUAGGCUUGCCUCACCUCUCGCAUAGUGUCUGCUCUUUAUGCCUUCAAUGAAACUAUAAAUGAGGACCCACUUAUGGCUUUGUCAAAUUGGAAUAAGCACUUCAAGGAUCACAUGACGAGGAUCACAUGAAAAUCGGACAUGUCAGCCGAUAUCAAGUGAGGAAGCUAUUGAAACUGCCAAGCUUCUUGCAUUGAAAGAAGGUUUGCUGGUAGGAAUAUCAUCUGGUGCUGCUGCGGCUGCUGUAAUUAAGAUAGCUAAUGGAAAACUC